GCCGCGGUAUUUUGACCGUGCAAAGGUAGCAUAAUCAUUAGUUCAUUAAUUGUGGACUUGUAUGAAUGGUUGGACGAAAUAUUAACUGUCUCAUAUUUAUGAUUAAAAUUUAAAUUUUAAGUUAAAAUGCUUAAAUUUUUUUAUAGGACGAGAAGACCCUAUAGAUCUUUAUUAUUUAAUAAUUAAAUUAGUUUUUGUUUAUUUUUUAUAAAUUUAUUAAAUUUUUUAGUUGGGGUGACUUGAAGAUAUUAUUAACUCUUUAUUUUUAUAUUCAUUGAUUUAUGAAUAGUUGACCUUUUAUUAUUGUUAUAAGAUUUAGAUACCUUAGGGAUAACAGCGUAAUUCUUUUUGAGAGUUCUUAUUGACAAGGGAGAUUGCGACCUCGAUGUUGGAUUAAGAAUAUUGUUAGGUGUAGUAGCUUAAUUUAUAGGUCUGUUCGACCUUUAAAUUCUUACAUGAUCUGAGUUCAAACCGGA
Molecule: ribosomal RNA, 476 nt
Filed under: Phasmotaenia sanchezi
Lineage: Eukaryota; Metazoa; Arthropoda; Insecta; Phasmatodea; Phasmatidae
Description: partial 16S ribosomal RNA
Rfam family: Bacterial large subunit ribosomal RNA
Source: RNAcentral